Molecule: non-coding RNA, 99 nt
Filed under: Alicyclobacillus acidoterrestris
Lineage: Bacteria; Bacillati; Bacillota; Bacilli; Caryophanales; Alicyclobacillaceae
Also listed under: 1 other name
Description: TPP sequence
Rfam family: TPP riboswitch aptamer (THI element)
About the family: Vitamin B(1) in its active form thiamin pyrophosphate (TPP) is an essential coenzyme that is synthesised by coupling of pyrimidine and thiazole moieties in bacteria. The previously detected thiamin-regulatory element, thi box was extended, resulting in a new, highly conserved RNA secondary structure, the THI element, which is widely distributed in eubacteria and also occurs in some archaea.
Source: RNAcentral
GCGAGGCGCUAGGGGUGCCAUAUGGCUGAGAGGCAGAGGAUGCUAACCCUUUCACCCGAUCUGGGUAAUACCAGCGUGGGGAAGUGCCGCAGACUUAGC